Molecule: ribosomal RNA, 351 nt
Filed under: Vibrio cholerae
Lineage: Bacteria; Pseudomonadati; Pseudomonadota; Gammaproteobacteria; Vibrionales; Vibrionaceae
Description: bacterial SSU rRNA
Rfam family: Bacterial small subunit ribosomal RNA
Source: RNAcentral
UUAAUUGAAGAGUUUGAUCAUGGCUCAGAUUGAACGCUGGCGGCAGGCCUAACACAUGCAAGUCGAGCGGCAGCACAGAGGAACUUGUUCCUUGGGUGGCGAGCGGCGGACGGGUGAGUAAUUCCUGGGAAAUUGCCCGGUAGAGGGGGAUAACCAUUGGAAACGAUGGCUAAUACCGCAUAACCUCGCAAGAGCAAAGCAGGGGACCUUCGGGCCUUGCGCUAUCGGAUAUGCCCAGGUGGGAUUAGCUAGUUGGUGAGGUAAGGGCUCACCAAGGCGACGAUCCCUAGCUGGUCUGAGAGGAUGAUCAGCCACACUGGAACUGAGACACGGUCCAGACUCCUACGGGAG